UACGUAGGGCGCGAGCGUUGUCCGGAUUUAUUGGGCGUAAAGAGCUCGUAGGCGGCUUGUCGCGUCGUCCGUGAAACCAGGGGCUCAACCCCUGGCUUGCGGUCGAUACGGGCAGGCUAGAGUUCGGUAGGGGAGACUGGAAUUUACGGUGUAGCAGUGAAAUGCGUAGAGAUCGUAAGGAAGACCAGUGGCGAAGGCGGGUCUCUGGACAGUUCCUGACACUGAGGCACGAAGGCCAGGGGAGCAAACGGG
Molecule: ribosomal RNA, 252 nt
Filed under: uncultured bacterium
Lineage: Bacteria
Description: partial 16S ribosomal RNA
Rfam family: Bacterial small subunit ribosomal RNA
Source: RNAcentral